Molecule: ribosomal RNA, 748 nt
Filed under: Klebsiella planticola
Lineage: Bacteria; Pseudomonadati; Pseudomonadota; Gammaproteobacteria; Enterobacterales; Enterobacteriaceae
Description: bacterial SSU rRNA
Rfam family: Bacterial small subunit ribosomal RNA
Source: RNAcentral
UGGCUAACAAUGCAGUCGGCGGUAGCACAGAGAGCUUGCCCGGGUGACGAGCGGCGGACGGGUGAGAAUGUCUGGGAAACUGCCUGAUGGAGGGGGAUCACUGGAAACGGUAGCUAAUACCGCAUAACGUCGCAAGACCAAAGUGGGGGACCUUCGGGCCUCAUGCCAUCAGAUGUGCCCAGAUGGGAUUAGCUAGUAGGUGGGGUAAUGGCUCACCUAGGCGACGAUCCCUAGCUGGUCUGAGAGGAUGACCAGCCACACUGGAACUGAGACACGGUCCAGACUCCUACGGGAGGCAGCAGUGGGGAAUAUUGCACAAUGGGCGCAAGCCUGAUGCAGCCAUGCCGCGUGUAUGAAGAAGGCCUUCGGGUUGUAAAGUACUUUCAGCGAGGAGGAAGGCAUUAAGGUUAAUAACCUUGUGAUUGACGUUACUCGCAGAAGAAGCACCGGCUAACUCCGUGCCAGCAGCCGCGGUAAUACGGAGGGUGCAAGCGUUAAUCGGAAUUACUGGGCGUAAAGCGCACGCAGGCGGUCUGUUAAGUCAGAUGUGAAAUCCCCGGGCUCAACCUGGGAACUGCAUUUGAAACUGGCAGGCUUGAGUCUUGUAGAGGGGGGUAGAAUUCCAGGUGUAGCGGUGAAAUGCGUAGAGAUCUGGAGGAAUACCGGUGGGCGAAAGCGGCCCCCUGGACAAAGACUGACGCUCAGGUGCGAAAAGCGUGGGGGGGAAGCAAAAACAGGGAAUUAGAUU